GAUGAACGCUAGCGGCAGGCCUAACACAUGCAAGUCGAGGGGUAGAAGGAGCUUGCUCCUUUGAGACCGGCGCACGGGUGCGUAACGCGUAUGCAAUCUACCUUGUACAGGGGAAUAGCCCAGAGAAAUUUGGAUUAAUGCCCCAUAGUAUAUAACCUUCGCAUGUUGGUUAUAUUAAAGUUCCAACGGUACAAGAUGAGCAUGCGUCCCAUUAGUUAGUUGGUAAGGUAACGGCUUACCAAGACGAUGAUGGGUAGGGGUCCUGAGAGGGAGGUCCCCCACACUGGGACUGAGACACGGACCAGACUCCUACGGGCGGCAGCAGUGAGGAAUAUUGGUCAAGGGUCGCAAGACUGAACCAGCCAUGCCGCGUGCAGGAAGACGGUCCUAUGGAUUGUAACCUGCUUUUAGACAGGAAGAAACCCUCCCACGUGUGGGAGCUUGACGGUACUGGAGGAAUAAGGAUCGGCUAACUCCGUG
RNAcentral lists this ribosomal RNA (480 nucleotides) under uncultured bacterium. Its description in RNAcentral is "partial 16S ribosomal RNA". It matches the Rfam family "Bacterial small subunit ribosomal RNA", at positions 28 to 507 of the family's 1533-position model. The record is from RNAcentral.